RNAcentral lists this ribosomal RNA (301 nucleotides) under uncultured bacterium. Its description in RNAcentral is "partial 16S ribosomal RNA". It matches the Rfam family "Bacterial small subunit ribosomal RNA", at positions 509 to 808 of the family's 1533-position model. The record is from RNAcentral.
CAGUAGCCGCGGUAAUACAGAGGGUGCGAGCGUUAAUCGGAUUACUGGGCGUAAAGCGUGCGUAGGCGGCUUCUUAAGUCGGAUGUGAAAUCCCUGAGCUUAACUUAGGAAUUGCAUUCGAUACUGGGAAGCUAGAGUAUGGGAGAGGAUGGUAGAAUUCCAGGUGUAGCGGUGAAAUGCGUAGAGAUCUGGAGGAAUACCGAUGGCGAAGGCAGCCAUCUGGCCUAAUACUGACGCUGAGGUACGAAAGCAUGGGGAGCAAACAGGAUUAGAUACCCCAGUAGUCCCUGUCUCUUAUACA